Molecule: long non-coding RNA, 562 nt
Filed under: Salmo salar (Atlantic salmon)
Lineage: Eukaryota; Metazoa; Chordata; Actinopteri; Salmoniformes; Salmonidae
Description: lncRNA (ENSSSAG00000085399.1)
Source: RNAcentral
GUUGUGACCCGUUUUUGUUGGUUAUGUUGUCAUAGUUGUGUCCAGGGGGGCAUAUGGGGGAGGGAACGCUGUCACCUCCAGGUAGGUGUUUGUCCCCCUGUGUGCUGAGGGUGUCAGGUUCUUGUCCAGUUCUGGCAUUUAGGUCAACACAGACUAGUACAUGUCCCUGGGCCUGGAAAUAAUUGAUUUCCCCCUCCAGGAUGGAGAAGCUGUCUUCAUUAAAGUAUGGAGAUUCUAGUGGGGGGAUAUAGGUAGGAUGGAGAAGCUGUCUUCAUUAAAGUAUGGGGAUUCUAGUGGGGGGAUAUAGGUAGGAUGGAGAAGCUGUCUUCAUUAUAGUAUGGGGAUUCUAGUGGGGGGAUAUAGGUAGGAUGGAGAAGCUGUCUUCAUUAUAGUAUGGGAUUCUAGUGGGGGGAUAUAGGUAGGAUGGAGAAGCUGUCUUCAUUAAAGUAUGGGGAUUCUAGUGGGGGGAUAUAGGUAGCACACAGGAGGACAUUUUUAUCUGUUGAGAUCAUUUCCUUUUGAAUUUCUAGCCAAAUGUAAAAUGUUCCUGUUUUAAUUAAUG